CUCCGAGUGUCGGUCGUCCGACCGACCGUAUUAUUACUAUAUAUUAUAGUAAAAUAGAAAUACUAUUUUGAUUACAUUUGCAUUUUCUCCCAUUGGCUUUGAUUCUACACGCAGACUACUAUCUUAGCUACGAAAUACACAGAAAAUGUAAGCUUUAUUUCAUAUUUUCAGUAAUAAAUGCAUUUUUUUACAACGCCGCUUUUAGAUUCUGAGUGCACCAAAGAAGCUAUAAUUAGUUUUACUAAUACGAGCGUUUUUUCGGUAAGUAAAAAUCGCAGUUAUAUAUUAGGGCUAUUACCAAACUUCAAACUAUUAUCAUAGUUUGAAACUUCAAACCUCGCAAAUCUAAAAUUUGUUCUAAUACAUAUAAAAAUAAGGUAUAUACAGUUUCAUUACGAUUAGUUAACCUUAAUACGUGCCCAAAAAAGGUUGAAUAUUUGAAUUUGGGGGUAGUUUUACAAUUUGUUGUAUUUAUCUAUUAUUGUAUUCUACAUGCGUUAAAAGUACAAAGAACAUUAAUUAUUAAUAAUUUCAGUUCCUAUACAAACCGCGUUUUUACGAAAUUCAUUAGUAAUUUCUUAAAAUAACGUGUGCUGUACCAAACUAUUAUUGUGCUGUGAAUUUAAUGUUUGUUUAUUUAUUUAUUUAAUGUCAAUUUAUUCACUUGUACCUCCUACUAAGAGUUUAGGGUAUUUUUUAAAGGCAAUAAGACUCUCCAGACUUUAAAAAUAAAGGACCAACAUCCUAAAUCUCUAAUACUCUCCUUUGAUAAUGUAAUAAAUAAUCGAGUGUCAAAAUAUUCAGAACUAAAAUAAAACCGUCACGACUACUCAAGUUUGGUUUUUCGAGACGAUAAGAUGUUAUAUUAACUUAUUUUUAUCACCCAUUGAUGCAAAUUUUGUUACAUUGAUGUUUAUCCGUCGAAUGCGCUGUCUGUAGACCGAACUUAAAUAUUAUAUUUUAUAUUACACGUCGUGUCAAUCCUAUGAAUUCCGAGCUAUACAUCUUUAGUCCCAGGCAAGAAGGCCUUAUGUCAAUUUCCAAUAGUUUUGGAUACAGGUAAAUUCGAUUUUGAAUAUUGCUUUAUAGCUAUAUAAUAAAUAUGACAUCCCUCUUUUAGUAUGAAAUAAAAAAUAUAUCAUAGUGACUCCAGUUAUUUUAUAUUCAGUAUAACAUAACGUCACUAGACGUCAGUAAAGACACUUAGUUUAAACAAAAAAUUAAAGGGAAAAAAUUAUAUAGAACAAAAUAAUAAAAAAAAUUCCUAAAAUUGACUUAAAUUCUUCUUCCUUGGGAUCAAAAAUAUAAAACACCGAGAUGGACUUAUCUGUGUGUAUAAUUAAUUCUACACCUGAUCUACGGAAUGUAUAUUAUCGUGCCAUUGUAUCGACUGAACAAGUCUAUACAUUUGGAAACGAUAAUUUAUUAUAAUAAAUAAAGUUCAUUGCAUUGAAAAAGAAACCCAAUAUUAAUAAAAUGUCUUUUAGAGUGUUAAUUUGGAACAGAAUGCACUGAGAGUGACCGUGUUCUAAUGAAAUAUGAUAAUGACAACGCGAAUGACAAGUUAAUACAUUUUGAAUGACCCACUACUUGGUCGUUUGCUGCAAUCGUCAAUUUAUGACUAAAAAAAUAAAACAGGUAUUUAAUUCAAUUUAUAUUCAUUCCAUGUUCGUAUUAUUCCCACCAAUAUCACCCUGUAUGAAAUGCGCAAUAUCUAUUAGACGAUUUAUUUUUAUAAUUUAUGUCGAUGUUUUUUUUUCUUUAUGGUAAGUACUUGCGACCAUAUCAUUCGGAAAUUGGGUACUUAAAAAUGGAAAUUUCGUUAAUGUAGGUAUUUUAAUGAUAUUUUAACAGGCGACGUGUGUGGUUUUUUUACAAUUCUAUAAAUAUCGUUGUAUAGAUCAGACAGGUUAAAUCCGUUAUGGCGAAAAACCAGCUGUCGAGAGAAAAAAAUAAAUAGGUAAUAAAAAAAACCAUAGUCUAACCCUCACGAAAAUAUUGAUUGUUAUAUUAUUAUUACUUCUCCGGGCAAACAGUAGUAUAUUUCCGCGACGAUAUAAACGCAAUUUAAUAUUACUCUGCACGUAAAGUGUACUCGGCGUUUUAUACUACAACUGCUGCCGCCUCCAUAAGAUCGUAAAAAAACCAUGUCUGGUGGUUCAACAUAUAUCCGUUUAAUACACAUUAUACUUGGUAGGCGGGAGCAGUAGACGUUAAGACUGGACUUGACCCGAGUCCGACUUGGUAUACCUAUAUAAAAUGUUAAAUCCGAUACACCAAAUCCGUAUGUUUGAGACCUGACAAUACAUGUAUAAUAAUAUCAUUAGUACCACUAGCCUCAGUUGAAGUUUUUCGAUUGCCAAGUUGAUUGAAGAUACACGCGAGAUUAUUUCCUUAUACGCACUGUUUUUUUAUUGCUAUACAUUAUCCAAAGAUCAAAUUUAUAAAAAAUCACUGAAAUAACAAUUUUGCAGAAUCAUAAAGAAAACUGUUCGUUUCACUAAAAUACGAGUAAGAUAUGUUUUCUUCGGUCUAUACAAAUGAUCAGAUUUUAUACGUUAAAAAAUAUUGAUUUUUGCUUGACGGUUAGGUUUAUUUCAACAUUUUUCAAAAUUCUCAAUAUUUUAUUUAAAAAUUUUUACUUUUUUAUUUGUUUUAUUUUUUUUUAUUAUUAUUUUACAUACAUAUUUUAGGCGAGUGAUAAAAUCCUCAGAGUUUUUCACGCGGUAGCUUAUUUAAUUAUGCAGAAUUUGCGCUCAGUAAUAUUUUAAUUAAAGUUACCAAUAAUUCAUCUCUGUAGUUUUUGAAUUUAUUUUCUAUAGGACUACACCUUUUCUGUUAGAUAUUAAAAAUGAACCAAAUUAUUCGCACGGUAAUUAAAAAGAUACGGAUUUUUCAACUGAUGGUAAAUUAUAUUCGAAUAAAAUGUCUAGAUAACCCCAACAGUUUUUCAGAGCUCAAAUUUUUUCCUGAAGAAUUAAAGUAAUUUGAAGUCAUUUGAAGUCAUUUAAGGUUUAGGCACUAUUAACAGUCUUCGAUUCGAGCUUUUCGCGAUACACGAAAUAUUAUAAUAAUCAUUUUGUGUUGUUCACGAUGCAUUCCGGUUUUCGACGGUGGUAUAUGAAACAACAUAAAUUAUACGCUCUGAUAAUAUAAUAUAACAUUGAUAAACGGUUUAUUUUGAGGCCGAGAGCCUCUUUAAUAAUUUAUUGGUAUACAAGACGAAUGGAAAGCGAACGCGACAAAACGCCGAUCGGUCGAAUCGCAAUAUUUUGUAUUUUUACCCGACACUCGACAGAUUGAAAAAAAAAAAAAAAAAACCUCAAUUAUUAUCAAGUACUUCGCGUUCCCGGAAUCGUGACUCGUAAAUUGACGGCCGGGUAUAAUAUUGCAAUAUCUGCACGCGCGGCCCCGUUGGGCAUACCUACACCGGAACACCGUGCGAAGAUUAUUAAACUCACUAUGUAUAUAUAAUGUUAUUAUCGCGUUUAUAAACAUAAUAAUAAUGUUCGGGUUCGUGGUUUUUCAAUAAACGCACGCCGACAUUGUGUCGACGAUAAUUUAUGAUGUGAUCGCCCGUAAAACCCGCACCGUCCAAGCCGUCGCAGAAUAUUUCGUUUUGGCGAAUUCUUAUAUGGAAACCAUAGCCGACUGCAAUUUAGUUAGGUGUACGGAACGAACGUGGCACCGGUGUAGGUUAGGUUAUCGAUAAAACGAACAUUUUACACGGAUUUAUGUUUCUAGCAUCUAUGUAACACCUUUAACAUGUAUAGGUGCGCCAAGUGGAUAGGGCCGCUGGGGGUGUCUUAAAACAAUCCGACACCAAAAUAGUAAAACUGCCUAUCGUUUCUUGUUUUCAAUGUACGAAUUAGUUUUACUAUGAUGUGUGGUUUUUUUAUGUAUAUAUUUUAACUACUUUUCAGCCAGAAAUCUUGCUACAAUCGAAAACUUUAUAGAAACUUUCUUGAAUCUAUAAGGCGAUUUUAUUAUUUAUUUGGUAGUUUUCUUAAUAAAUUGUAAAACUGGUAAUUUGUUUUGUAAUUUUGAUUAUUGAAUUCUAGGUUGCUUUGGCAACAAGGGAAUAAAUUUGACUCUUAAAAAUUGUUAAGAAUCGUUUUUUGAUAGCAACAGUUUAUGGUUGUGUAUAAAUGUAAAUUAAAGUUAGCCUUAAAGAAAAUAUCUCUCUUCAAACUUCCCUCCUAAAACAGUAAUACGAUCAUCAGCGAUAUUAGCCUUAUUCUGUUUUCAACAUAAAAUAAUUUAUGCGCACAACAGUUAGACAAGACAAGCCAAAAACACACUAGUACCGAAACAAGUUCAUAAUAAUGCUCAUUGUCCAAUUAUUAUUAAAGAAAAUAUUGAUACUUCAGACAGUAACACUGAUGACUGAUAGCGUUUACAACAAAUUUGAAUUUAUUUUGUUUAUGUGUUAUCAAAGUGCUUAAUAAGCGAUAAUAUGCAUAUCUCGUUUUAAGAGAACAUAAAUCCGGACUAUACUGACAAAGUGCUAACCAAAAAUACGUUAUAUUUACAAUUUAAAUUAUCUUAUAAAAUGUACCAAUUAAAUAUAAACACAAUUGUUUUAAAUUCUCAGCGUGUAUCGAAGAAACUAUUCAUUUUGUUAAGACUUUUUUUUUUUUUUUCGUAAAAAAUUGUUUAUUUUGAUAAACAAUUUUCGAUUUUCCUCAUAACGAUACCGAAAAAUAUACGGAUUCACUGAUGACAUUUUUUUCAAAAACAUUUUUAACACUUUUUGCUAAAACUUCGAAAACAGGGCCGUGAUUUCGCUACGAAUUUUCUAUAGUAAUAAAAAGAGACGAUGCCAACUUGACGGACAUUAUUUUUCUUUUACUAUGAUAUCAGAUUACCAACAAAUGUAUGAACGGUUGUUUACGUUACGCGGUUCGGGGCUGAGCGACGGAAGUGUUUUCGUGUAUAUUAUUGUGUUAUCAUCGCACCACCGUGCCAAUCGUCCGCGCGAUUUUACACACGGCCGUCACGUCCUGUCAACGGCGAUCCGAUUGAUGUUAUAUUUUGUUUAUUUUUGUUGCCGCACAAAUAACAUAAAAUAGACGAGCGCCGCCGAAAAGCAUUUUUAUAGUCGAGCCAAUAAUUAUAUUACGAGACCGGGCUCUGACGAAAACCCAAACAGUCGCCGUCGAUGUUUCCGGCCGUGUUGGUUUUGGAAUGAAGUUCCGUCAGUGAACAUACAGUUUUGUAACGAAAAAGACCGCCGCGUUAAAUAAUAACAAAUACACUGACGACGAAAUUAUAGGAGAGGACAUGAUGGGUAAAGAAAAACGCCCGCGGUAAAAUAAUAUUGUCGUGUUAAACCGUACGUGGCGAUUGUGACUUGUGGGUUUAGGACUAAUAUUUUUUCAAUCGGCUCUAUUUACAAUUAUCGCAAACCAAAAACAAUAGAUUCGGCCUUUGCAGUGUGCCAAAAAACCUCAAACCCGUACGCCGAAAGACUGACGACCGUCGUGAAAGACAACAGCUAGUGUCGAUAUUAUUAUCAUUUAUAGUACAUCGUCGUAGGGUUAGGUUAGGUUAGAUGAAAUUUGGUGAAAAGGAUGAAAUUUCGCCUCGUUAAUGUUUACGAAUAACAAAGUUCAGUUUUCUAUGUUUUAUACGUACGGAGAGAAUAAUUUUUCAGGUUCUGUAUACAGUUAGUGAACGGCGGAUGAACAUUAAAGAUACUGGUUAAGGUUGUUGAUUUUUUUUUCUCCCAAAACACUUUUUCGAUAUGUAAAAAUUCUCCCAAACACGUCGUAACUUAGAAAAUUCACAUUUUGCGGUUUAUUGUUAUUUAUUUAAACGAUCUCCGACGGUAUUGAAAAAAAAAAAAAAUUAAAAUAAUAUAUUUAGGGUUACUAAUAGCUCCUUCGCUGUACCCUCGGAAUCUUUAUUAUGUAGUCGUCAAUAAUAAUACUGCUGGGCUUGCGUGAACGGAGAGUUCGGAUCAUAUAACUUUUUAUGACUGAAAUCAUUUUAAAAACGAUUCUUUUAUACACACAUUGGACGGAUAAAAAUGAUAAUGCAUAAUAUACGUAUACAGGGUGAUCAGUUUAUCAUAAGCCAACGAUUUUCUUGAAGGAUUUUAAGUGUUUUUAAAAAUAAUUAUGAAAUCGUUAAGGUUUUAUUUUAAUAAUAUUUUUAAUUUAUUACAACUACCCCUUGUGUUUAAAAUGAGUAUAGAACAACAGUACGUGUUAUAACAGUUUAAAGUUUAGACCGAAGGAGUAGGGAAGGCGUAGGAAUUUAUUAUCUAAAAAUAGAUAAUAGAGAAAUGUUUAAUUCUUCUCUACUUCUCUGGUAUGAAUUUAACAGUUAUAAUUAAUAUAAACGGUAAAUCUGUCACAAACGGUAAAUCUGAUAAUAAUGUUGUGUCUAUCAAAAUUUGUAUAAAAAUGUCCUCUAUAUUUAAAACUGUGUUUAAACUGAGUUGUUAAUUUAAAAUCUAAAGUGUAUCAGGUUUAUGGAGUAGAGGUAAAAAAUUCAAAACAGUUAAUUUUAAAAUAACAAUUAAACGGUUCAAUAAUAAUUAGUAAAAAAAAAAAAAAAACAGAAAUCAAAUUAACUUAAAAUCAUUCGAGAAAAUGUCUGGUGGUUCAUGAUAAAUAAACACACUGUAUUUAUUGUGUAGAACGUUCAACUGGGCGGCUGAUAAUAACAUACGCCCGGUCACCGCCAAACAAUGUUUAUCGUCGAAUUCUCUGCUGUUUACUACGGUGUAAAACACACACGUUAAUUUACGCGUUUUGUUCGUAAACAAAACGUCAGCAACCGGCGAUUUUCGUGGGUUUAUAUUAUUCCGGUCAGUCUUAUCGAAAACAUCUGAAAUAUAAUAUUAUAUGUGCUACCAUCAUCGGGUAACCGUCGGAACGGUCGAAUUAUUGCACUACUCGCCUAAAUUAAACGGUCGGACCGCACUCUGGUGAAAGACAAGUCGAAGAAGAUUCGAGGAAAAAAUUUUCGAAAACAUUUGUUUUCCACAUACAGGCGUAUAGGAAUAACAGUUAUUUCAAUCAUUUGCACGGUUAAAAAUAAGUUUUUUUAUGGGAUACGGGAAAUUAUUAAUGUUUUCAAACCGUUGGAAGUUUGGUUGUCAAUCAUUUUUUUUUCGUUGAAAUACCUUUCUUGACCCGAGUGCAAUUCGACCGUUACCUUUUCUUUUCUUCUUUUUUCUAACCAGAAUGCAAUUCGACCCGUUUAGCCGUAGCCGUCACCCAAAAACGUUCUCGGGGUGGAAUUUAUAAUCGUGGGUAGUAAAUAAAGACGCGAGCACCGCCGCCGUACACAAUAAUAGAUACGCGUUUUUAUGCGACGUUAUUUAUAACAAUGCCGACAAGAAAAAAAAAAUCAACAAACGUCUCCCGCCGAGUGUUUAAACGCGCUCAGCUCUUUCCGAGCGUCGUCGUGUACGCGCGUCGCCCGUAAAAACGACUAAAAAUAAACACGUGCCGCUCUCUGGGGUUAUACUCUCGGCGGAGGCGACGGGCCCGGGGAGAUUAGAUAUAAUACACCGUUAUGUGCUCGCAUUACGAUAAUAAUAAUAAAUUACAGUCGUGCGUGUGUGUCAGGAACACAAUAUAAUAUUGACGAUUCAUUAUAUUGAUGUCGUGGUCUUAAAAAACGGAGUGCCGCAGACGAAUUCCGGUGAUUCUCGACAAACACGUAAAAUAUACGUUUACGUAAGUUUUAGUAGGUUUAUAGCUAAUAUACGCAUCGUGUUGACAGUCGACCCGUAAAAAUAUGGCGCGAUGAAUUUUUUCGAGGACGCGUGGUGUCAAUAUACGUACACGGGGGCUUGAGCGCCCGUCGAAAUAGCGCGUUUAGAGCGCAAAGCACUCGUUAGACAUCGAAAAUAAUACGGAUAUAUAAAUGCACAGUGUAUAAACUAAACAUAUUUAAUCAUGAAGUGCUUUGGAAAAUUCGGCAUAAUAUUGUGAUAAGAUCGUAAAUCGAUAAGGUACAUUUUCAAUGUUUGUCGACUGUCGUUACCACUGCGGCCUUCGCCUGUUCUGCGGUUGUAGUUACUUACAGCGGCGCAACUAGAAUUUUCGAGCACCGAUGAACAUUUAAGUCUGGUGCCUUAAAUUUAAUACCCACGCGAUUUAUAGUAAUUUUAUGUCUAAGAGAGAUUGAUCUUUUCAUAACCUGGCACCUAUAAUGAUAUUGCGUGAUAAAAACGCCAACGCCAUUUCACGUGAAACAAACGAUAAAGGCAUUUUAAGGCGGUUUCAGAGUUGCGGUGAAUUAACAGAAGACGGCUAUAAUUACGAGACAAUAACCUCAAUGUAGGUUUUGGGAAAUCAUUUUGAAAAUCUCGGACGUGGAUAGCACCACGGGUAACCAAAUGCUGUAGGAAGUAUAUUAGGAUAUAGGAUAGGUUGAAUAGGAUUAGCUUAUAAUUAUAAUACGUAAUAGUCUAUUAUUAUGCUAAGUCUGGAAGGACCGAAAAAUCAUUGUAAUCUAAAAACGACAUGACAUGAUUAAGUACAUAACUUGUAAUGACGAUGCUGGACUAGCUAUAAAAAUGACCUGUUAAUAUUGAUUUGCUACUUAUUUCAAUAUAUUUUUCGUUUUUACCGACAAACUUUCGUAAAAAUUGUCUACAAAACGGAAUCCCUUUGUCGUUCUAAUAAUGAUAUAUGUGUCGGACGUCACGUUCCUACAAUAGUUCUUCAAAACUUUGAUAAAAACACAAUAAAAAUAAUUUUAACCACGACCAUAACUUUUUUCGUAUCCAACGUAAAACCGCGAAAUACCCGUCGGACGGUCGUUUCUUACGUAUAAUCGUGUGAUGGACGCGCGCAUUACCUAUACCGACUGCAACGGGACACGACACUCGCCGCCAAACUUUUCUUCGAUUAUUAUUUCCUCGCCAAAAACAAAAGUCCGCCUUUCCAUUACAUUAUUGUAUAGUGUACACUGUCACUUUGCGUUAGGAGGACCCUAUCUCGUUUCGAGUCCCGUCUCCCUUCGGACGCCGCUGUGCCCGUCCCCGACGACGUCAUAUCAUAUUUUAUUUUCGUCGCCGUUGUCACGUUCAAUUUUCAACUCGUGCACCGCCGUGCCCUCUCCUCCUCUGUCCAGCGCCACACACAUUAUAUAUACUUACUAUACCGAUUUCCACGGACGUAUGUUUUCCGUUCGUUCGUCUUUAUCAAUCGGUCGCCGGCUUUACUAAUAAUCCCCCGACACGUCCGACGGUGCGAGAAGGGCUCGUCCGUCUGUCAAAACGAAACAUUAAUCCGUUCGCACCGAAUAAAAUAAAAGUCGAUUUCUUUUCCCCGCGGUAAUUCAUCCAUGCGUAACACCGCCAGUGACAUUUUCGACGAGAAAGGACACAAGUUAAUUUUCGUCAUUUUUUCCCUCCCUGCGUUAAUUUUGCGUGACGUUUUAUACACGAUCGAAUGUGUUCGCCCAUUGGUAUUCAUGCACACACUUUUGCAGUUGUCAGUUGUCACAAAUCCCAAGCAGUUUAUUAUCGUUUGGUCAUCACAAGUCAAAAACAGUAGUUUUUAAUAAACGAACUGUCGAACGCGUAUGCGAAAAGGCUCAAUAAGUCAUACUUUUCUUUUAAAUAAAACGAGCAGUAAGACACAAUCAAUUAUGUAAAAAAUGGCCCAAGUAAUAGAUACCUACUUAAAUUUUUAUUUCUAGAGCAGUAGGGCAAAUGUUAUCUUAAUUCGGUAAUCUAUAACAGUGUCAUUAAAAUAAUUAUGGAAAGUUAAAAAAACGUGUAAACUAAUAAAUAAAACAAGUGUUUCAAAAAAAAAAACAAAACAAAAAAUUGAUAUGUUUUUUGUGUCUCUUGGAAAGUGGUCAAAAGUGGACAUAUUCUAACGAUAACUUUCCAAAUAUUAUCUAAAAAAUGUUUGUAACAAUGACACCUACACAAAAAAGUAUAUAGAGAAUGAUUAAAAUUAUUUCCGAUAUUUAUUUAUUGAAUAUUUCACGCCCGCGGUUGGGGCAAGAGUACUAUAUAACAGUAUACAUACUAUUUGCGUACAAACAGAUAAAUUAAAUACAAAAUCACAUUAAGGGCGCAUUGUUUUAAUUUAAAGAAACUAUAAUUUUUUUAAAACGUGUCAGGAUUUCAAGAUCCGAUAAGGGGCUACUUGGAUAUUAAUAACUAAGAUAUUAAUUUUAUUAUAAUAAUAACUAUAAUAUGUCAUGGUGAUAAUAAUAAAUAGACUGGCAGUUAAAAUAACCGUUGAGACCAACGUGCAACGGCCCGAGCCAAUGAAUUAGGCAACCGGGAUUUUUGCUGACGUCCCUAAGCGAAAGUCGUUUCCGACAACUUUUUUUUCUUCGUUUUCACGUCGAUUUUCCGGGAUGACGGGUAACAUAUUGCAGCGGGUAUUGUUUUAAAAAGUGAUCUAAACGUUUCGCAAAACGACACGGUCGGGAUAUAAUUUCGAGUAACGACAAAUCACCAAUAUUUUACUGUUGUUACGUAUAUAUAUAGAAUGUACUAUUAAACGGUCGAAGUUAAACUAUUGGCGAAAACAAUAUCGCGAAACGUAGGCGCAUUUAAACUUUUAGACCCGACAAUAACGUGUAAUAACAUUUUCUACUGCAAUAACGACGUUGCGGACUAAGAAACAAAUUAUACGACUCCGUGCUAAACUUAUAAACUAUACUAAAUGUCUACAUCAUAUUAAACAAUACGACAGACGAAAUAAUCGCAAAUUUUUAAUACUUUUGAUAUUUUUUCCAUUCAAACCCAAAUCCACGAUAACACCGAUUAAUAAAAGUGUUCAAAUGAUUGCGUUCCUUAUUAUAUAGUUCACUUUCGUCGGCUCUCCGAACGCGGCAAAAUUUGGUCUGUUAUUACACCGAUUCUGCAGCAGGUCCAAAAACAACAAAAUAAAAUAACUGCGAACCGCAGAUCUCCGUCACUAGUGUCGAAUUUCUCUCCAGCGGAUUCGUCAACCGUUACAAUAUUGAAUUUUUUUUUAUAUAUAUAAAUAUAAUAUAAUUAUUUAAAAUAACUAUAGUUACCGGAAUCGUAUUACAUUUUAGUCUGUAGAAUUAUUUAAAACCAGAUAUAUCUUAUUAAAACGUGAAAUUUGAAGGUCGGAGAGAAAAGAUUGAAAGUUAAAACCCCCCAAAUCACGUUCUUAAUACUUGCAACAUGCAUAUACAAAAUUACAUUAACCUGGCUUCAUUUAGGGAGGUUUGGAGGGAUAUACGAGAUUAAAAAAUAUUCUCCUCUCGCAAUAAGAUGGUGAAAUUCAUUCAAAAUUGUAUCAAAAUUCGAUUGCAAGACGUUGGAACUUAAUCGCGCAAAAUAUAGCGGACGUUGAGUGGAGAGCGACCUGCAGCAAUACUGAUGUAUAAGAAAGAUUUAAGAUUCACCGGUCACAAAAAUCAUACAGAACAGAUAAACGCUCGACAAACGUUUAAUGAUUCAAAAAAUGAGUAUGCGAUUUUCAUACGAAUUACUCCAUUGCAUAAAAACACGUUAUUAAGUAUAUGGUUUAUCGAAAUUAAUAAUGAUAUUAUAGCCGUCUGAGUGUGUCCGGCUGUCUGUCGUACUCGGUCUCUACAUUAUCAUCAUAUACUUAUAUAUAAUAUAUUUUAGACGACAAUUUACUGCACCGGCGACCGUUUUGCAUAUUUAUUAUAAGUGCAUCACAAUAAUAAUAUAUCCCGGCGGGUGUUCGUAUAAUAUUUUAUUACGAACACGUUGUCGUGUAUACAAGAACAACCGGUAUGUAUUUAUUUAUUUUUUUUUUUUUUCCAUAGGUACGUAAAUGUCGUAUUACAAACAGAUGACAGUAUAUUAGUAAAGUAGGUACUGUAUUAUUAUAGUUUCGGGUACAGCGUCGAAAAUUCGAAAACCAUAUGGUGAAAACCGCCGUCGUCUCGCGCGCGUCGACGGUAAAAUAAUAUAUAAAUUUAAAUACUCGGCUCGUAUGCUUAGUAUAAAGAGAUUGUUUACAUUUUUUUUUUCUCCCCGGAGUUACUAUAAUAACACGUUAUUCACGCGCGUCGAACACCGCCACUCCGAGAAUAUUCUCUCGCCCGGUACACCCUGUAUAUUAUUAUAUAAUAAUGCUAUACAGUAACCCGGCAACGUCGUUAUAUGUAAAAAAAAAAAAAAAAAAUCGUCGCGGUAUGACGGCGUACCUAUAACGUUAUUUAUGACAGUAUAAUUGACGCGAAGAAUAACACGGUUUUUCAUUUCUUUUCUCAAUCGGCCGAUAUAAUGACAUUACACAACAAUGACGUCCACACACGCAAGUCUAACCCCACGCGGUGGCACGAAAUGACAUCACUUUUUCCUUAGCUGUCGCAGGCCGUGCGGGAUCUUUGCCGGUUCUACACCGAACUCGUCCGUAGGUCUGCUCUGUUUUCUGCAUUUUAGAUUCUAAAUGAGUUUAUUUUUUUUAUAUUUCGUAUCUGUGCGCAACUUUUCUACCGGAAAACUUAAUCGAAUUUCUACGCGUAGCACCUUUUCUGAAAGAAAAUCGACGAGAGGCGCUGAUUUUCUCAAGAGUUUCUUCGUCAAAUUUGAAAAACCGAUAAAAAAAAAAAAACGAGGAAAUAUACGAGAGGUAGGCAUUAGUUAAAAAAUAUGUCGGCCUUUUUUUCCGGUAAACAACUUUUCUACAAGCAAUUUGACUUCGAUUUACAAUGAUAAUACUUUUUCUGAAUGGAAAUCUAGGAGAAGAAUGGAGCACUUAAGAACGCCGUGCGCCGUGGCGUCACAAAAAUUAUACUCCAAUACUCUCCUCUACCUAAACUUAAGAGAAUAUCUCGCUAACUGGUUAACAGAAAUCAAAAAUGUCACUUUUAUUUUCUCGGUUUUCAGAGCGAAAUUCAAAAACAAUUCAGAACAAAACACCGCACCAUAAUUAAGUGUUCAUUCGCAAAUCAAUUUUGCGACACUUCAAUUUCAUUUAUAUGUACUGCAUAUUAAUAAUCUGAUGACAUUUUAAAUAGGUACCUACGUUAUAUCAUUAAAAAUAUUACCUGGAGUCUUGUCCGUCAUAGGUGAAGUUUUGUGAAUCGGUCGAAGAUACACGUAAAUUAUAUUGACUUAUAUUAAUAAUUUGUCUAAUCUAACGAAUAAAAUUAGUAAAACUUGAGGAAAAAUAAAAGUUAUUAAGAUCGAAAACACAUUAGACAAGGACCGGUCGCAUGCAUCAUUUUUCAUCAAAACAAAAUAAUAAUUACAAUUAUUGAGAUAACAAAGUAACACAGAUACUGUUGAUAAAAGACAACGGUGUCGUCACCAUAGAGAUUAUUAAUGUACGACCACAGAUAUAAAUAAUAAACUAGAUACAUCCAGGAUUUAUUUUUUCCUGGUUGGCUCCUUCAAUAAGAAAUCCUUAGUAGAGUACUUAUAUCGGUGCUUGAAUUAAAAAGGACACAAAGGCGCCUCUAUUAUUUUUAUUUUUUUUUGGUUUAGCGUCCCCUUACAAAUUAUUUCUACUGGUACGGAGAUUAAAUAAUUAUAUUUUCAACAAAUAUUUUUUGUCCUAUCAUCAACUCAAAUAAUUUAUAUAAUUUUUUAAAUUCUGUGUGGAGCUAAGAAGCCUAUGGUUUUACAAUGAUGUUUAUUUUUUUACUAGAAUUUUUUUCCAGUUUACAAAAAACUUUUUCUAAAAAGAAAUCUAACUGUGAAGGUACUUUAGGGAGGUCAGUUUUCGAUUUUCUUAAGAGUUUCUCAGCAAAUGUGAAAAACUGGGAAAAAACAUGACUAUCAAUUAAACUCUACUCAGAUUCGUUUUUUCGUUAGCAAUGAUUAAUCGUUGCUUACAGAUAUACAUUAAACUCCUGUCUAUAUUCUACCUUCCCAACUUCCCAUUUAAAACAGUUUCACACCCUUCCCAUUAUCCUAGGACAAUUUUUUUAUUCUUUUUGUUUCAUUUUCCCGGAUUUAAAUCUCUUUUUACUCGAUCCAGCCAUCGUCACGAUCUUCCACUGGGACGUGUUUUGUUCGGAUUAGCAACCAGGCCCAGAUUAAUACUAGUGCAGACGGUGCACGUGGACUUGGCCCUCCAUGUCCCCAUUUUUUUUUUAAUAUUAAAGAAUUCAUAUUUCUAUGAGAUAAAACUAAGUUACACAAAAGAAAUAUAAUUCUCAGGUUGAGGAACACUGUUUUAGAGAACGAUAUAUACGAUUUAAAACUUUUACGUAAACAGAAUCAUAAACGUACCCUCGGCAAAAUGUCUUUGGCAGUUUGGCGUUAAAAUGCGAUUUGCUCGACUUUUUUCAAACUUCAUAAUGGUAUAAAAUAUUAUGUACGGGUCGUCGACAACGUGGGGCUUUUUAGUCGUUGUUAUAUUAUAAUAAUAUAUCUCUCUUUUACAAAUCCUCUUCAAAACGAAUACAUCACGUGAUAUUAUACGGCGCCGGCCGUGUGUCAGUAUAAUAACCAGCACACAACACGUCGCAUUAAGAAAAUAAAAACGUAUAAAAAGAAUAAAGACGUUCAAAUCGAAAUUUAACGACCGUGUUAGUGUUCCCUCUAGGACUCGCUGUAGAUUCAAUUGCGUAUGCAAUAUUUAUUAUUAUUGUUAUGGAUAUUAUUACAAAAUAAUAUUAAACCGAGUUCCCGUGACUCGUGUCUUCACAAUUCGCGGAUACUCGCUAUCAGUGGGAUGGCGAUGAGGUUUUCAAUACGUCUAAAAGCGUCAUGAUUGGAAUAUCAUUGUAGACAGGUAAAAAAAAAAAAAAACGUCAGCAAUAGAUAUUUGAUAUUUGUAUUUUAGUAAACUAUCAAGUAGUCUUGUAGACAAAAGUGUUGAAGAUUUUCCACUAGACGGUCCUUAGAUUUCUAUUAUUAACCAAUAAACCAAAAAUACCUAAAUCUCAAAUGUCAAAUUUAAACCUAAUUCGGUGCCCAAUCUUUUACCACUAUAGGUGCAUGGUGUGUAUAAUGAUGGUUGAGGAUUAGACUUGGACACUUUUCUACGAUUGACUUAAAAAUAUAUGUUUAAGCGAAUAACAGCGAAACAGCUUACAAGGGAGUAGAUAUUUUAUGAAGGGGCUGCGGAGGGUACUGAAAUAUAUAUUGCGGUUACAACAAUAAAUGUUGUAUAUUGUUCAUAAAUGUCCGUAACUUCUCGCUAUAAGCUUUGGUACAGUGUUUAGUGUGCAUAAUAAACGAAUAUUCGGUAUUCGAUAUUCGACACUUUCCCGCGGAUUGUCGGUAAAGUUGACACGAGUCAAAGAAAAUGUCUGCACCAGAAUAGAUGUUCGUCGGUUCAUUCCCACGACGCGAUAAUUAUUUGCCCUUUGGCUAUCUGAGAUUCUUAUCUCUCGGCAAGACCAGACCAUCAAUCAGCAAAUAAUAUAUACAUAUAUUGUGAUAAUGUACAAUAUUGGGAUUCUGUCUGUGUUUGUCUGCUAUACAAAUCUACAGUUAUUUAUUCCGAUCUUGAUGAAACUUUACACACUUGACAUUUGAAACAAGCGGAAGGUUACUGUUUACUUUUUAUCUCAAAAUUCAACCCCUAAAGGAUAGUUGACAUGGGGUUUGUGGUAUUUUUGGAACGAAAAUUGAAUUUAGUUGGUUGAUUUAUAGGUUACUAUACAGCGAUACAGAUGAAGAAAACCGUUGUUAUUAUUUAAUUUGGGUGUCACAGACAAGGAAGUACCCUUUUCAAAAGAUAAAUUGCUGGGCAACAACGAUUAACUGUGAUAGAUACAAGGGUGGAAACGGGAAACACGUUAAAUUGAAUUUCUUAUAUUGAUUUCUGUUUUUUUGAAAAGACUGCGCAUGGGAAAUACAGGGUAAUUCGGCUAGUAUAAUAUCUCUCCGUUCGUGUGUAUCAACACAAUGAUUUUUUUAUGUUCUUAAUAUUUUACGACGCAAAAAAUCGUAAACUGAGACCCCUCGUUUGUACAUUUUGCAGUAUACAUGCAGACGUGGCCUAAUUGUUGCGCACAAUUCCAACAGAGAUUCUCACGUAUCGUAAAAAAACGCGAUUUUCACAUUUAUUACUAUGCCUGGCCAACAGCAACUAAAAGGCUAAAUAGCAAAAUUACGUUACUUAGAAUAAAUUAAAUUGUCGCGUUAAGGUUGAAAUUUUAGUUAAAUGCAUAUAAACGUACGUAUUCCCACCUCCUUCCUCCCAUUCAACACAUUAUAUGUAACACAAUUUAAACAGGAGAAUAAUUCGUGGACUGCACGUAGCAUUUUCUUAAAAAAAAUUACGGCCAUAUUAGUUUUGCUUUUUUCAAAUACGAGUAAUAUCUGUAACAUUUUUGAUGAUAGUAUUUUAGGAAAACUACGUAAAGCCCACGAAAAUAUUUUGCUCUUGGAAUGUUUUUAUAUGCAAUAAAAUAUUAAAGUAAAAACAAAAUUAUUAAAAUGGUUAAUACUCGUAAAUAAAUAUAUAAAUAAAAAAUGUAUAAAUGCGUCACCUGGAGUAUUAUGAUAAGUGCAUUAUACGACCGGUUUCGAAUUAAAAAUUCAACAUUAAGGAUAUCACGUUUUUAUGUGUGUUUAAACUCCAAGUUAAAUUUUCAUAUGUUCUAAUAAUAUUGUAAUUUUGCUACAUCACCCGUUAAUUACACUAAGAUAGUAAAUCCGGGUACCUUCUCAAUGCACCGACUAGACAGGAUUUGCUUUUAGAAAAGUUGUUCACAGACAGAAAAAAAUCACACAUCAUAUUCAAACCACAAUAUUCACCGCUACGCUUUGAACAUCAAAUACUAGAUUGUAAAUGGAUCGACCGUUUAUCAGACUUAAAGAUUAAAACAUGAUCUGUGUCGCGUCGACGGUUUUUUUUAAAUGUAAUUUUAAUUUUGAAGCGUAAACACUAUAAGCUAUAAACUAUACUAUACCUAUAAGCAUUUUUAAAUCCUGAUACUUCACACACUCAUUUAAAAAUUUUAAUUACGGACAAAAAUGACGACGCGACACAGAUCAUGUUCUUCUUCUAAUCUUUAAUUUCACAAUAGGUUCACUCACUCUAAUAUUAACAUCAACGUCAAUACAUUAUAGAGUUGUUUCCGUUGUACGUGAAUUUGUUACAUCGCGCGGUUGUGUGACGGAGGCAGCGCAUGCGGAUAUGGCGCCCGAUAUAAUAUAAACGGUUUUUUUUUUUUUUUUUUAAGCUGAUUUCACCUUUAUCCCACACUAAAAUCUUAUAUUUCUGACCCGUCCACAUCUCCAUACCGCCAUCAAAAUUCAUCUAAUUUGCAAACGGCCGUUAUACUGUCUCGUCCUCUAUGACUAUACUGCAAUAUAAUAUAAUAAUAAUUUUUGACUAUUAUAAGACGUAUCAUCGUUUCUCCUUCUCUCUUCGGGGCAGGUCCAUGCCUACAUACGAUCAACUUAGUUUUGAGUGAUCGGGCGAGUUUUCGAAUCUUUAUUGUGAUUGCUAGUAGUAUUUUGUCAAGCGCGCGGCGGUCCCUCGUAUACGGUGUGUAAUAAUAUUAAUAAUACUAAUACUAUGUAUGUAUAUAUAUAUAUACGUUAUAACCGAACGUAUACAUUAUUAUUUUCCGUAUACACGCCCAAGACAAACACUACAGCACUCCUCGGGAGGGAACCCUCGGAUGAUUUAUUACGCGUUUUUCGGCCCCAAAGUAUACAAUAACCACGCAACGUUAUCUUCCGAUCGACUCGGACACGAGUUCUCCAGCAUGUUACACGAUAAACGCCAGCAGCGUUUUUAAUGCGUCGUAAAUAUGACAUCGAUCACUAGAUUUAGUACCUAAUAUAGUGUAAACGGCAGUCGAAAAGCGCACACUCGACAAGUAUUUUUUUUUUCUUUUUAUAUGCUAUUAUAUCUGUAGUGGCCGCCGUGGGUGGCCUAUAACUAUAAUAUUAUAGUGUAACUAGCAGAAUCUCGGGUGAAACAAAAAUAGUUGCGGAUUUUGUUUUUUUCUAAUAACAAUUUCGUAUGCGACCGUGACAUAUAUUAUCAUAAAAUAUUCAUCGACGUAAAAUACGAUGUCGGUCGAAUUGAAUCCUUAGAUCAUAUACUACGGAUGUAGACACAGCGAAUUGUUUCGCUGCCGAUAUCGGCCACAUUAUUUCGUAUUGAUUUGUACGCUGCGGCUCCGUGGUGUAUGAUCCGAGAUUGAAUCCGGAAAUUUCGACUAGCGGGUACCUUAAAACCGUUAUCUAGCACCGUAACACCAAUAAUCACUGGGAAAUAUAGCCGUCACACUUACGGCCGUUUUUCGGGGAAUUUAAUUCAGCAAAAUAUUGCCAUGAUGGCCUCUUAUCAUAUCGGACCGACUGUGAUAAUAUUUUGAAAUUUAAAUUGUGCACGCGACCGAAAUCACGUUGCGUCUUGUACAUUCCAAGUGUGGCUGUAUGAUAAUUUCGAACGAGUCCGCUCUUCGAACCGUGUCAUUACGGGAAACCGAAAAUCGGCGCGUAAAUAUUCGGGCCAUUAUAAUGUUUAAAACGCAAUCAUAUUAUCAUAUUAUACGACACGUGCGAGACGAUUAAAUCGGCUCGGCGCCAGAAACAAUGGCCCGAUUGGGGAAUUAUGUUUAAACGUAUAAUUAUUUAUAUCUACGGCUCGAAUAUAUUGUAUUCUUUAUUGUAGCUGCACGCGGUAGAGCUCGUGUCAGAUCGAGACGAUUAGAUCUGGGUCCGGCGGUGUUCGAUUGGCCGAAAACGACGCAAAAUCGAAUUUACAUAUAUAUAUACACAUUAUAUAUAGAUAAUGAAAAAUGCUUAUGCGUUGUAAACCGCCCGACGGUGACAGUGUUACAGGGUCGUGAUUUCAAUUUGUUUUAUUGUUGGUGACGAAAUUUUUGCGGGCCAUUUCAAAUCAUUACCAGGCCACAAUUAUGGGCACCUUUUUUUGGGGGGGGGAGGGGCGGUCAAGGGGGGACAUUCCCGCUCUGUCAUCUUCUUUUUCGCCUUCGCUGCCAAUUGUGUGUGGUCGGCCACCAUUUUCAUACACCUCCACGGUAACCUAAAUACUAACUCUAUAUAUAAUAUUAUAAAACACUUGGGUGCAUCGGCGAUUAUAUUUUAUUUUUGGCACGCUAAAUAAGACGUUUUGAAAACAGUUUGUGCGAAUGCACACCCUGCAACCCCCCUCCCCCAAAUGACGCACCUACAGUGUUAUAAACCGGAAUUUAGAUUUUCGUUUAACGUAUGUACCGAAACAUACAGCAGAUACCUACCGAACAACAAUAGGGCGUAGGGGAAAAUUAGACGAGUACACCGCACGCAUUAGCUCGAUAAAACAAAACUCACACCUGCUCGUUACAUUAUACGAACACGUGAAAGCUUCGAGUAUGGAAAUAAAUCGAAAUAAUAUGUACUCAUAUAUUAUAGUUGGUAUAAUAUGCGUUUACAUCUAAAAGUCAAACACAAUAUUAAUCUACAUGUGUAUAAUUUUUUUUUUUUAAUAACACUGUAGUGAUGUGUUUACACUUUCUUAUUUUCGAAAAAAUGCGCAAUCUGUUUAAACAGACCGAGACGUACGGUGUAAAUACUCGUCCAGGUUAAUUAUGUGUCGGUACGCAGUAUUAUAGGUAUGUACGGUUUAUCGAUUCGUUAUGGAGUAUAAUAAAAAAAAGCUCGCUCGAUAAUAGUACCUAAUGAACUCAUUAUAAAAUACGAAUAAAUAUUUAGAAACUGUAUAUUAUAAUGUAUAAUGCGUAUUAUAAUCACUUCGACACGUGCAUAUACGUACACUAUACAUUAUAUAUUAUGCACCUACCAGAACACGACUGUUCGGCUUUAUUUAUAUUCUGCAGGUUUUAACUCUUAAUCAAACGAUUGAAAAGUAAUAGGUCUAUAAAUCAGUAAAUUACCUAUAUAAUGUUUUACUUAUGUAAAGAUUAAAUAUUGUACAACAGACCUGUGGCCCAUGUGUAUUAUAACCGGCUACAAUGCAUUACGGUUUGCCUUUGAAUUAUAAUAUCAAUUCUCAUUUUAUUGAUUGAACAUUUUUUAGAAAAUAUUUCUAAUACACCUACGAACUUACAGUAUUCCACGGCACUUCGAUCAGGUUCUUCUUUUUCUCCUUCGUCUUAAUCCCAAAUAUUCGAUGUAGUCCUAAGCUUUCGGUUGUCUCGAUCCCUUGCAUUGUCCUCCCAUAUACUCGCCGUCCUCGUAUCAUUGUCAAUCGCAUAUAAUUACCUCUAUUUUGAUUACAAUUAUUCUCACUGUUUUUGAUUUUUCUCUUUUCUCUCUUUUUACUUGGACAAUUUGUGAAUCAAACAGCACUAAAAUGUUUCCGUUAUUUUUCGGAACAAAACUACUACCUACUUUUGAAUUUCAUAUAGCAAUCUUUAUUCGAACCCCGCGCACCACGCCUGUCGCACAAAAGAUAAUAUACACUACUCUCCGUCUACCCGAACUUAAAAGCGGAACGUCUCGUCAACGGGUUGACGGAAACUGAACGUUUCAACGCCAAAAUGUAUUUAAACUAAACUUAGUCUAUUUAUGCAACUUUAAAUAUAGGUUGUUGUUUGAAAUUCGAAAUUGGGUAGCGGUUUCAAUUCUCCUCCCCCUCCCAAAAAAAAAAUAAAAAUAAAGGUGACGAAAAAUAACCAAAGUGCAACACUAUACAGAGUAACUUGUUUUAUAAUAUUAUUCUGGAAGAGAAAAAAAACCAUAUCCAUAAAAGUCAACGUUUUCGUAAAUAACGUGUGUCUUGUCGAGGAUUGAUCACCAUCACCGGUGUAUUAUAGCUUCUUCGCUACACUCGGAAUGUAAAAAAUAAAAAAAAUAAAAUAAUAAUAAUAAUAAUAACCGCUGAAAAUAUGGCACACGACAACGUCGGCGUUGUGGACACACGUUAACGGAUUUUCAUAAUGUAGACGGCGUUUUCCGGACGGAUUACACGAGUCUGUAUGCACGCCGUCGCCGACAAAACCGAUUCUGUCGACAUUAACGAGUAAUCCGACCUCGUCCGCGACACGUUUGCGCUUACGUAUGUAACACACGCGCGGUGAAUAUGGUAAAACUGGUCGAUAAGUACGCGUAUAACACAACAUAUAUCUGUACGCGUUUUUUUCCCCUUUAUUUUCUCUCUCUCUCUGUUUCUAAUCGUCUGUACACCUGUCACUUUGUCCCGCUGCCGCAGAGACUUUAAUACCCGCGCGGCGGUCCGGCACUCGUCCGGCCGUCCGUUUUAUAACGCCGCACACCAUCCGGGUUGUGUUUAGGUAUUAUUAUUAUUAUUAUUAUUAUUAUUAUUACACUACUUAUCGGCGUACACGAUAAUGUGUCCGCCGCCGAUAAAUCUGACGCGGAAAUCUAAAACGCGUGUUCGGUCUGUUUGCGCUCGUUAUUCGCCCCACACACACACACACACAAGCGAUUGCAUGUUAUUUCGUAUGCAUCGUCGUCGUCGUCGGAACGCGUGAGCGUAUAAUGUCUUUUAUAGUGUAGCGCCCGGUCAUCGUAUCCGCACAACUAUAAUAUUAUAUUAUUAUGUUACAGCGGCCAAAUAUACGCGGGAUUUACAGAGCCGAAUCGAUGUGGAUGAGUACCGUCAAGACCGCCGAGUUCCGGAACAACGAAAAUCAACCACCCCCCCCAUCUCCUUCAUUCAAAUAUGCAUGGCACGUGUCCGGCAUUUAUUUAUAAAUUUAUCAAUAACAAUCUGUCUAUUACAAUUUAUCUGUUACAACACAUCCCGUUCAACAUCCCAGUUUUUUAAUAACCGUUCCACUUUUAUGUUCUAUUAACCAUCACAUAGCACAAACUACUUAAAAUAUUCCUCAAUUCCAAG
This 21689-nucleotide long non-coding RNA is filed under the name Cinara cedri. Lineage: Eukaryota; Metazoa; Arthropoda; Insecta; Hemiptera; Aphididae. The record is from RNAcentral.